Pomacea canaliculata is the source of this 1025-nucleotide long non-coding RNA. RefSeq lists it as uncharacterized. The transcript has 3 exons. The record is from RefSeq and is a predicted model, not a curated record. Lineage: Eukaryota; Metazoa; Mollusca; Gastropoda; Architaenioglossa; Ampullariidae.
CAGCCUGACGUCACAUGGCAAGCUGUCAGAGUCAUGUGACGAGCUAUUUUUAGUAUCGACAGCUUGUGGUCCCCACCGAAGGUCGCUACACGUUUGACAGAACACAGAGAAGUGCUGCGAUUUGACUGGUAGUUGUUUGUCUUUUCACACACGCUGACACAUGAGUUUCCAGCAAGGACCUCCGCCUUACCUGGGGCGGGUACCAGCAAGGGGCUGCAUACGGCCCACCACCACCAGGUUACGUCCCGGGGUAUGGACCACCUCCAGCGGGGAGCUACUCUCAAGCGUAUUAUGGGCAGCCUCAGAGUCAGCAGACAAUUGUCUACGUGGAGAAGGACAGAAGAGACUCCGAACUGGCGGCAGAAGAGUGCUGCCUUCUGGCGUGUUGUUGGGCAACACUGUGCUGCUGCCUCGCUUCUAGUGUGAAUUAAACGUUCAUGUGUUGGUCUGCCACCGCCACUCUUGUCGGCAGUGUUUGCUGUCCAUACGGAAUGAUGGGCCAUUGACAGAACGUUGUGGCUGCUAGUCCUCUGGCGUAUAGGUUCGCAUUGGUGAAUGACAACCUCCACGCUAGCAGCAAUAAGUUUUUCUUUCAACACUGGACUUUAAGCCUGUAAAGAGUAUUUUAUAUCUUUAGAGAGUUUAUAAUGUAAAAUCAAAACUAAAAAGAACUUUAUACAAAGGCCAACGCCUGGCCUGAACACACGCACACGUUGUGUGUUUUAAUCAGCUAAACAAACCAAAGAGAUAAAAACAAGAAAUCUGACAGUUCAGAUUCAUAGGCAAUAGGGCUGGCCCAUUUGAGCACAAGUGUGUAAAUCGCCUGUAAUCAGCACAGUAAUCAUGCUAAUGUCGCCGUGGUUUCCUUCAGUUCUAGACCUGAGUGAAGAGUUGUGUGUGUAUGAGAGAGAUGGGUGCUGUGAAGGGAAGAAGACAAGAGUAUUUCUCAAAACUAUAAAUUAUUGAAUAGAUUCAAAUAGUCAACUGCAUAUCUUUUGUAUAUCUUAAUAAAUACUUAAACAUGA